RNAcentral lists this long non-coding RNA (323 nucleotides) under Equus caballus (horse). Its description in RNAcentral is "lncRNA (ENSECAG00000050453.1)". Lineage: Eukaryota; Metazoa; Chordata; Mammalia; Perissodactyla; Equidae. The record is from RNAcentral.
UUCCUCCUUUCGCACCAACAGGACCGAGGCUGAAGGAAAAGAUCCUGUGGUGAAGAUGUGCUGGCUCUUAAAGUCUCUGCCCAGCAGUGGCCCCAUCACUUCCUACAUUCUGCCGGUCCAGACUUCCUGCUGACUCCAGGUGGGGAGAAGGUCCCUCCAUCCCCUACACGUUCACGAGGAAGGCAAUGGCUGCUCCUCCUGGCUGCUGUCUCUGUUCUGGCAAUGCUGUGUCUGGUUUUCUCCUACAUUCCUAGAAGCAAAUACAACUCACAAUGAGAACUGAUUUCCUGCCUUGUCUCUAUGAAGAAUAUCAACCUCUCCAG